This 43066-nucleotide long non-coding RNA is filed under the name Vitis vinifera (wine grape). RNAcentral's name for it is "long non-coding RNA (VVIN_LNC001392)". Lineage: Eukaryota; Viridiplantae; Streptophyta; Magnoliopsida; Vitales; Vitaceae. The record is from RNAcentral.
CAGGGUUGUGACCAUAAUGUGGUGGCUUCUCUCCCUUAGGUGGUUUGCCAACUGGGGUUGGUGGCUUGUGUUCUGGGAGUGGCUUCUCCCCCUUGGGAGGUUUUUCCAAUGGGGUUGGUUUGUGUUCAGGAGGUGGCUUCUCCACUGGAGGCUUGUGUUCAGGAGGUGGCUUCUCCACCGGUGGCUUGUGUUCAGGAGGUGGCUUCUCCACCGGAGGCUUAUGCUCUGGUGGUGGCUUCUCCACCGGAGGCUUAUGCUCUGGUGGUGGCUUCUUGAAUGGGGGAUGCUGAGGGUAAUCAGCAAGUGAGGGGGCGGUGAGAACCACCAGGCCAAGCAACACCACUAGCAAAUAUGUAGGAGACAUCUUUGGGUUUGGGCUCAGAUGGUGCAAAACUAGGAGAAUUGGCUAGCCUUUUAUAGCGGAUCGUACUCAAUAAUGAAAUGACACGUGUCAUUAUGACCCAUGUGUAAUGGGGUCGAUUUGGGUCCUACAGUGUUGAAAACUUCGACAUCCAGUUUUGGCCUUUUGCUUUCUCUACAGCCGCCUUGCUUUUUCCCUCUUUCCUUUUGUUUUCCUCCUGCCCCAUUCUAUCAACUAAACACAAUUAUGUAGUUGUUUAAUUCUUAAAUGAGAUAUUAUCGGUCAAUCGUAUUAUAUUUUAUCAAGAGAGAACGGAGUGCAAUGCAGCUGUAAUUUUAUCGUUUACUUUUAUCUCUUGGACCACUGCAUUUUUGUUAAGAGGUGCAAUAAUACACGUCUUUAUCUGCCAUUCAAUGUUUACAGUAAAGAGAGGGCACAAAACUCUUCACUGCUCUGCAUGUGUCCCAAAAAUGCGAUUGGACAAAUUAUGAUUUGCAUGCUAAAAAGAGGCAAAUGAGGUUAAUUCGCACCAUAAUUAUUUGGUUUUCUGGACACCAUAAAAAGAUGUUAUACAGGCAGGGAAAAACCUUCAGAGUUAGCUACCAAAGAUAAUUAUCAAGCAGAUAUCACCAAGAGAAUUCCAUAGAGUCUGAAUCAAAGACAGAUUGCUCGCUCGUGGGGGUUCUUACUUUCUUUUGGGUAUAACUCACUGAGGUCACUGUCUUUUUUAUUUGCAUUUCACAGUUAGAGUUCUGCUCUGGAAGGUUUGUUCUGGAAACAUAUAAAAGGAGCAUCAUUUUGUUCUUGGGUAACCCAUAGUCGUGAGUGGGUCCAUUUGCAUGCUACUUAGUUGAAAAGUUGGACAAUUUGCUCCGACGCCUACCUCCUGGAUUCCAUGCUCGGUAAAACAAGAAUAAAAAAAAAUAUAUAAUUUACAAAUGGGGGAAAGAAAAAAUGUCGGAAAAAAUAGUAAAAUUCAUGUCACAUGCUAGUGAGAGAAGGGGUUGUUACACUCACUCGAAGUUCUUUUCAAAAUAUCGAAUGGUAUUUUACUUUAUGUGUCAGCGCAGUUGUGAAUGGAACGUGCAAAAGUCCAAAUUGGCGUUUUUAUUUUUCCCAUGUAGGAUGGUGACCUUUAAUAAAUAUUUAAAACAAAAGACGAAAAAAAAAAGGAGGGAAAAGGGAUCACAAAAGAUAAAAUAAUGUUUACAAAAGCUCAAUUAGUUUGCAAAUUACUGUUUGGAUUUUGAUAGUAUUUUAUUUGUCGUUCUAUAUUUGAUGUAAAAGAGAAUUUAAGAUAUUUCCGAAGCAAAAGCAUUAGUUUGCUCUGUGAUGUCCCACAUCGAAUAGGGGAGAAAGUUUCUGGCGCUAUAUAUGUAGAGGCUCCUCUUAACCAAGUAGAUGCGUUUUAAAACCAUGAGGGCCCCCUUAGGUCCAAAGCGGACAAUAUCUACAUGAUUGGGUGUAAGUCAUUACAAAUGGUAUCAGAGCCGAUCCCCGACCCCGGUGUGGGGGUUUGUUUGGCCCUGUAAGGGGUGUUUGUCUGUUUGACCCCACAAUCCCAUGGGACACAACGAGGACGUUGUGUCUGCAUGGGGGGGCGUUUGUGAUGUCCCACAUCGGAUAGGGGAGAAAGUUCCUAGUGCUAUAUAUGUAGAUGUUUCUCUUAACCAAGUAGAUGCAUUUUAAAAUUGUGAGGGCCUCUUUGGGCCCAAAGCGGACAAUAUCUACAUGGUUGAGUGUAAGUCAUUACAUGCUCCAUGUCAAUUUCAGCAUUUCUCAUAUGUUUCACACAUACACAGAAGAGCAUCGUUUUUUAAAGCAUGCAUUUAUGUUGGAUUAAUUUGGAUUUUGUGGGAACUGGGGCAAGGAUCACAUGGAAGAGAGGUUGACUUUUUUCAGUACUUCAAUGGUUGAAAUAUGUGAAGGCUUGAUUGAUACUAAAGCUUGAAAUUGCGACUCUGUCAUUUGUAAAAAAAUAUGACAGCUUCCAUGCUCUCGUUUGGUUGCAUUGUCCGGUCGAGAGGUGCAAAAAGCAUUCUCUCUCUUCUAAUAGUCUUUUCGUUUAAAUCAAGGGAUUUGCCUUCCCGGUCGAGGUCCAAUAGAGGGUAACGGUCACCUACUAAACAUUAAAUGCUCCAACAACUAGUGAACUGAUCGACCCCAGCUCGACUAGUUGAGGUUACUUUUUGGUUUUCUUGUCUCCCGAGGUUAGAAACCUAUAAAUAGAGAGCUUCACUUCAUUUAUGAGUAAGAGAACACCUAAAUUUAUUUGUUUACCUACUUGUUUUUGCCAUAAAAGCUCUCAUUUCUUUUCUUGGUGUAUUAAAUCUCCAUUUGCAUAUCCUUUAGUGCACCUUUGUGAUUCAUUCUAGCCUUGAGUUGUAUUUAAGCCUUUGUUGAGCUAGGUUGAGAGUUUCAUACUUGUUUAUUGAGUGUUAAAGCCUUCAAGUGAGUUAAAACUUGAAGAGAUUGUGUAAGAGCCCAUUGGAGUCGGAAUCCAAGUGUAAAGGUGAUUAAAAGCUUGGUUGAAGCUUCAAGUUAGUGGAACUCUCACUCGGUUAUGAGCUUGAGAAGAGUGGACAUAGACAAGGCAGUGUCGAACCACUAUAAAAUCUGAGUUUGAUUUCUCUAACCUUAUCUCUUUAUAUUUGCUUCUCUUGUGCUUAAAUUUUUUGUGUUUAAAAAGAAUUUUUAAAAACUCAAUUCACCCCCUUCUUGGGAGUUUUUCUCUUUUAAGAUCAGCUUUUAUUUUCUCAAUUGGUAUCAGAACUAUGCCUCUUGUUUAAGACUUAAUCGUCUAAGAGGAAAUGGCUAAUCCAUCAAGUUCAUCUCACAUUGAAAGUUUUGCAACCAAUAGACUUCUUUUUUUUUUUUUGCGGGAACUGAUUAUCCCUAUUGGAAAACUAAAAUGACUUGGUUUUUACAAUCAAUUGAUUUAGAUGUAUGAGAUGCCAUUGAAGAUGACCUAACUUUUCCUUCAAAACUAGUUGAUGGAGUCAUGGUUCCAAAACCUAAGCAAGAAUGGGAUGAGCGUGAUUGAAGAAAUUUUCAAUUAAAUGCUAAAGUCGUUUAUACUUUGCAAUGCUCUAUGGACAGAAAUGAAUAUAAUAGAAUAUGUCAAUGCAAAUCGGUUAAAGAAAUUUGGAGAUUGCUUGAAAUAACUCAUAAAGGAACAAAUCAAGUUAAAGAGUCAAAAAUCAAUUUACUUGUUCAUAGAUAUGAAUUGUUUUUUAUGAAAGAUAAUGAAACUAUUGUUAAGAUGAUCACUAGGUUCACCAACAUUGUUAAUGGUCUUAAAGCCUUGGGAAAGACCUACAAGGAAUCCGAAAACGUGAUGAAGAUCUUGAGGUCACUUCCAUCAAAGUGGCAUACCAAGGUCACCGCAAUUUAAGAAGCAAAAGACUUGAUCAAGCUACCUUUGGAGGAGUUCAUAGGGUCAUUGAUGACAUAUGAAAUCAAUUUGGCAAAGAAGUAACAAAAAGGUGAAGACAAAAAGAAGAAGAACAUAACUCUCAAAGCUACAACUAAGGAAGAAGAAGUUGAAGAAGAAAAACAAAUUGAAGAAGAUGAAGAUUUAGCCCUCAUCACAAGAAAGUUCAACAAAUUCAUGAGGGGUGAAAGGUUUAGAAGAAGAAGGUUCACUUCUAGAAGAGACUUUUCUAAAAAGGAAUCUUCAUCUAAUGGUGACAAAAAGAGAUGGGAAGAGAAAAGAGACUUGGUGUGUUUCAAGUGCAAGAAACCGGGACACAUUAAAUAUGAUUGUCCUCUCUACAAAAGUGAAGUCAAGAGGAAAAAGAAUAAGGCAAUGAUGGCCACUUAGAGUGAAAGUGAAGAUGAAUCAUCCGAAGAAGAAAAUGAGAAAGAAGUGGCAAACAUGUGUUUCAUGGCAAUAGAUGAACUUGAUGAGGUAAAAUCUAACCUUAGUGAUUAAGAUAUACAUGAUGCAUUUGAAGAAUUGUAUGAGGAUUUUUAAAAACUUAGUUUGAAAAAUAUUUCUCUUAAAAAGAAAGUUCAACAACUUGACAAAGAACUUAGAGAAGUAAAAGAAAAAUUUUCAAAUGUUAAAGUUUCUAAAACUCAUCUUGAAAAAGAAAAUGAGAUUCUAAGAAAGAAAAAUGAAUAGUUGAACUCCUCUCUUUCAAUCUUUUCUUCUAGACAAAAAUCUUUUGAAAUGAUUCUAACUAGCUAAAAAUGUGUUUUUGACAAACAAGGGUUAAGAUUUAAAUCUUCAAAAAAUCAAAAGUAUUUUAAAAACUAUUUUGUAAAGGAAUCCACAAGUGCAAGUCCUUCCACUACUUGCAACUUUUGUGGAAGAGAAUGGCACAUUAGUAGUACGCCCUUUAAGAAAUGGUUCUCAAAAGAAUUUAAAUGCAAAAACUAAAAAAGAUUUGGAUUGAGAAAUCCAAGGUCACUAACCCUCAAGGACCCAAAAAGAUAUAGGUACCUAAAUCAACUUGAGUUUUAUGUUGUAAGGUUCAAAGAAUGAUAAGUGGUUCUUAGAUAAUGGUUGCUCAAGACACAUGACCGGAGAUGAAUCCAAGUUUGCUUUUCUUAAAAAGAAAAAUGGAGGAUAUGUUACCUUUGGAGACAAUGCAAAAGAAAGGAUGAUUGGUCAAGGCAACAUUGGUAAUGGCACAUCCUCUCUCAUUGAAAGUGUUUUAUUAGUAGAUGGUUUCAAACAUAACCUUUUAAGCAUUAGUCAAUUUUGCGACAAAGGUUUUUAAGUGAUUUUUUAAGCAUCUCAUUGCAUCAUCAAGGAUAUUCAAAAUGAUAAAACCAUUUUCAUGGGCCAUAGAUGUGAUAAUGUUUAUGCUAUAAAUAUUUCAAAAUAUGAUGGCCAUGAUAGAUGUUUUUCAAGCAUGCAUGAUCAAAGUUGGUUGUGCCAUAGGAGAUUGAGACAUGCUAACAUAGACCUCAUUUCCCAACUCAACAAAGAUGAACUUGUUAGAGGCCUUCCCAAAAUAAUUUUUUAAAAAGAUAAAGUUUGUGAAGCUUGUCAAGUGGGAAAGUAAAUCAAAAACUCUUUUAAAAACAAAAACUUCAUUUCCACAUCUAGGCCACUUGAGUUGUUGCAUAUGGAUUUAUUUGGUCCCUCUAGGACACCAAGUCUUAGAGGAAAUUCUUAUGCAUAUGCUAUUGUGGACGACUUCUCUAGAUACACAUGAGUCUUGUUUUUUAGUCAAAAGAAUAAAGUUUUUUAUGAGUUUUCAAAGUUUUGCAAUAAGAUUCAAAAUGAAAAAGGUUUUUCAAUUACUUAUAUAAGAAGUGAUCAUGGGAGAGAAUUCGAAAAUAUUGAUUUUGAAGAGUAUUGCAAUGAGCAUGGAAUUGACCACAAUUUUUUGGCUCUUAGAACUCCUCAACAAAAUGGGGUAGUUGAAAGGAAAAAUAGAACUCUUCAAAAAAUGACAAGAACCAUACUAAAUGAAAACAACUUACCAAAAUAUUUUUAGGCCAAAACGGUUAACACUUCUUGUUAUGUUUUAAAUAGAGUAUUAUUGAGGCUCAUACUUAAGAAAACUCCCUAUGAGCUUUGGAAAAACAAAAAACCCAACAUUAGUUAUUCCAAAGUCUUUGGAUGCAAUAUUUUAUAAUAAACACCAAAGACAAUCUUGGAAAAUUUGAUGCAAAAUUGGAUGUUGGAAUUUUCCUUGGUUACUCAACUUCAAGUAAAGCUUUUCGAGUUUUAACAAAAGAACCAUGGUUGUAGAGGAGUCCAUCCAUGUUAUUUUUUAUGAAUCUCCAAGAAAGAGAGAGGAUUGAUGAUGAUUUAGGUUUGAAGACCUCUAUAGGAAGAUUGCAAAUCGAAGAUAGAAGACAACAAGAAGAAAAUGGAGAGAAUCCAAAGAAAGAAGGAUCACCAUUGGCACUACCCCCUCAUCAACAAGCGCAAGGUGAAUCAAGUCAAGAGCUUCCUAAAGAAUGGAAGUUUGUCAUCAAUCACCCACAAGAUCAAAUUAUAGGCAAUCCAUCUAGUGGGGUAAGAACUAGAUCCUCUCUUAGAAAUAUUUGCAAUAAUCUAGCUUUUAUCUCUCAAAUUGAGCCUAAAAAUAUAAAUGAUGUUUUAGAUGAUGAAAAUUGGAUAAUUGCAAUGCAAGAAGAGUUAAAUCCAUUUGAAAGAAGUGGAGUAUGGGAAUUAGUACCAAGACCUUCAAAUCAAAGUGUUAUUGGAACUAGAUGGAUCUUUAGAAAUAAAAUGGAUGAAAAUAGCAUAAUUGUUAGAAAUAAAGCAAGAUUGGUAGCCCAAGGUUUUAAUCAAGAAGAAAUGAUAGAUUAUGAAGAAACCUUUGCCCCCGUAGCUAGGUUGGAAGCCAUUAGGAUGCUACUUGCCUUUGCAUGUUUUAAAGACUUUGUUUUAUAUCAAAUGGAUGUGAAAAGUGCUUUUUUAAAUGGUUUUAUAAAUGAAGAAGUAUAUGUUGAACAACCACCCGGUUUUCAAAGUUUCAACUUUCCUAACCAUGUUUUUAAACUUAAAAAGACACUUUAUGGUUUGAAACAAGCACCUAGAUCAUGGUAUGAAAAAUUGAGUAAAUUUCUUUUGAAAAAAAUGUUUUAAAAUGGGAAAAAUUGACACAACUCUUUUUAUAAAAACCAAAGAAAAUGAUAUGCUCUUAGUUCAAAUAUAUAUUGAUGAUAUCAUUUUUGGUGCUACUAAUGUCUCUCUUUAUGAAGAAUUUUCUAAGUGCAUGCAUAGUGAGUUUGAAAUGAGCAUGAUAGGAGAACUCAACUUCUUCCUUGGACUUCAAAUCAAGCAACUAAAGGAAUGAACCUUCAUCAAUCAAGCAAAGUAUAUAAGAGAUCUUCUCAAAAGGUUCAACAUGGAAGAAGCCAAAACAAUGAAGACUCUAAUGAGCUCAUCCAUUAAGCUUGAUAAGGAUGAGAAAGGUAAAUCCAUUGACUCUAUUAUGUAUAGAGGCAUGAUAGGUUCUUUGCUCUAUUUGACCACUAGUAGACCUUACAUUAUGUAUAGUGUGUGUUUGUGUACUAGAUUUCAAUCUUGUCUUAAAAAAUCUCACUUAAGUGUCGUGAAAAGAAUCCUCAAAUAUUUGAAAGGGACAAUGGACAUAGGCUUAUGGUAUCCUAAGAGUGAUAACUUUGAAUUAAUUGGUUUUUUGGAUGCUGAUUUUGUCAGUUGUAGGGUUGAAAAAUAAAACACUAGUGGCACUUUUCAUUUCUUAAGACACUUACUUGUCUCAUGGCAUAAUAAGAAGCAAAAUUUGGUAGCUUUGUCAACAGCAGAAGCUAAAUACAUAGCAACUGGUUUAUGUUGUGCACAAAUCCUUUGGAUGAAAUAAACACUUAGUGAUUUUGAUUUAUCUUUUGAGCAUAUUCCUAUUAAAUGUGAUAAUAGUAGUGCCAUAAGUAUAUCAAAAAAUCUCGUGCAACACUCUAGGACUAAGCAUAUAGAGAUUAGACAUAAUUUUCUUAGAUAUCAUACACAAAAGGAUGAUAUAACACUUGAAUUUGUAAGCAUAAAAGACCAACUUGCCGAUAUCUUUACAAAACCUCUAAGAACAUUUUGUUGAUAUUAGAGGACAAUUAGGAGUGAUUUCUUUAUGAUCUAAUGUGAUGAAUUCUUGAUGAAUAUACUUUUUGAUUGCAUGAAUUUCAUGUCAUAUAUGCAUCAUAUAGAAAUAUACUUAGAUAAUGGUCAAAUUUCGACCAAAAAUCAAAAUUCCCAUGGCAUUAGGCAUAAAAAUUUUGGAAUUUCAACUGAAAAUGGUAGGAGGAGGAUCACAAAAUGAGAAAGUAUGCAAAAAUUGAAAAAUCAAAACGUUGACCAAGCGGUCAAUCGGACUAGACCGAUCGACUAGUUUGUCGAGAUUUAGGAUUUUUAAGAGACUCCAACGCUUCAAUUUUUGCACCGUUCUCCUCUAUUUCUUCACGGUUUCUCUGAUUUUGUCUUUUAGAGACUAAUUUGAGUGCGUUUUGGAUCAAUUGAAGCAUUUUGGAUUGGAUUUUAGGAAGAUUGAAAGUUAAGGUUUCGGAUUUGGGUCGCCUUCUCUUCCUCUCGCGUGUCACAAUCAGCUUUAGCAUUGUUCUCUUUCCAUUUUCACACACCUAGGGUUUCAGUUGUGAGCAUCUCUCUCUCUUUACCAACCACUACUCCCUUGCUUCUUCCAUAUGGCUCCUAGGCGAGAGUCCGCUACUUCUAGGGCACAAGGCAAGCACCCAACUGAGUCGUCUCAGUCAAAGGCACGUCGAAAAGUGAGAUUUGACAUUGCCUUGUUCAGUUCCAUGGAGGACUACCAACUAUACAAGCAACACUUUGCUUAGAGACGAGUAGUUCCCAAGAGAAAUAUUAAUUUUCCUCAACUUCAGCAUUUCGAAUUUAAGGGUCUAUUUACUAGGAUGGUUGGUUGUCUAUUGUCACAAUUUCGGAGCCGGUUUUCCUGACCUUAGUGCGAGUUUUUUACUCGAGGGCGACUUAUGGCAUGGGUGGCAUGAUCAUUUCUACUGUUGGAGGAGUUGAGAUCUGUCUGGACCCAGAGAGCAUCUGCCAUAUUUUCGAUAUUGCUCUGGUUGGACUCAAAGUAUACAAGUCCAAAAUGUGGCCCAUUGUGCCAGGAUUUGAGCUUAGAGAGGUCAUUCAGAGGAUUUGUGAACUUCCAGACGCCCAGGAGAUGGGCAAACCAUUGCCACACAGUUUGACGGUCAUCAACAGGGUGCUACACCAUAUAUUGUGCUCUAUCUUUCUACCACGAAGUGGACAUUGAGAUGAGGUCUCUUAUUAUGAGGCAUUCCUUAUUGACUCCAUUCUAACGGAGAGACGAAUUCAUCUACUAUGUCAUCAUUCACUAAGCCUCCUCACAGUGACAUACCACCUCAUCAGGCACCUCUUGCUCCUGACCAUGCUCCAUUGAUGGAUUUAUUUACUCAUAUUAGCUCUCUAGGCACUCGCAUGAAGGAGUUUGUUGUAGUUAGUGAUACAUGGUUCUACUCCAUAGAGGAUCGCAUGGAUCAGUAUCAGACUGGCUUCACGUCACAGUUUGAGUAUCUCCAAUAGAGGAUUGAGCAUAUUGAGGAUCACUUGAGCAUGAGAAGAUGAUGGCUUUUCUAUGCUCUGUGUUUCCACCUCCACCUCGUCAACCUUGAUUUCUUAGAGACCCAUUGUUUUCAUUUUGUAAUGUUGCCAAAAGGGGGAGAUAUUUAGGAUCUAGGACUCUAUAGGAGACUUACAUGCAUAUCAUUUUCAUAUCAUUGUUUGGAUCGUACAUAUUGGAUAGUGAUACUUUUUACUUAUAUAUGAUAUGCCUAUAUGUUUCAUGUCUUACAUUGUUUCUUAUUGCAAAUUAUCUCUAACAUGUCUUGAUUAUCUUUUUUUUAACUUCAUAAAUUUUGAUUGUUAACCCAUGAUUGGUUUGAGGGGAAGAUUCUUCUUCUCCUAGAUAACCAAGGUUUGUCAUCAUAAAAAAAUUGGAGAUUGUUAGCCCAAGGGUUCUCCUAAUCAUGUUUUGAUGAUAACAAACCAUGCUUAAGUUACUAAUUGGUUUGAAUUAUAAAGAAUUUCAAGUGUUAAUUUGAAAAUUCAUCAAAGAACCUAAUGGAUGCAAGAUCAAGAUUUUUGGAAGACCUUUAAUCAUAAGAAACAUAUGUAAGAUGAAUGCAUGGGUGCACUUAAGAUUUGCAUAUCAUUUCAUGCAUAUUUGGAAAACACGGUUUAUGCUUUAAAGUUACAUUUCCAUCAAAAUUUGAGAUCCAUCAAAUGAACCUUAGGAAAAAUGUUUUAAAAUUGGCAUAUAAUUUUACCUAAAGACCUUGCCUAAGUGUUAGAAGCAAAAGGACAAAAAAAAUAUAGGUUUUCUGGUCAAAAAUGGUGAACCAGUCAAGGCAUUGUCUAAAUCAGCUCAAUCGGCCAAGGUACCGGUCGAUCGGUUUCCCUUUCCCUGUCGAGAUCUAGUCAAGAGGUACAAAAAUCACAAUCUCUGUCUCUUUCUCUCUUUGUCUAUCUUCCAGUAGUCUUUCCUUCCCGGUCGAGGGAUUUGCCUUCCCGAUUGAGGUCCGAUUGAGAGUAAUAGUCACUUGCCAAAUAUUAAAUGCUCCAACAGUUAGUGAACUGGUCGACCCCCACCUUGCCCAGUUGAGGUUACUUUUUGGUUUUCUUGGCUCCCGAUGUUAGAAACCUAUAAAUAGAGAGUUCCACUUCAUUUAUGAGCAAGAGAACACUUGCAUUUAUUUGUUUACCUACUUGUUCUUGCCUUAAAAGCUCUCAUUUCUUUUCUUGGUGCAUUAAAUCUCCAUUUUGAUAUCCUUUAGUGCACCUUUGUGAUUCAUCUUAGCCUUGAGUUGUAUUUGAGCCCUUUUUUUAGCUAGGUUGAGAGUUUCAUACUUGUUAAUUGAGUGUUAAAGCCUUCAAGUGAGUUGAAACUUGUAGAGAUUAUGUGAGAGUCGAUUGGAGCCGAAAUCCAAGUGUAAAGGUGAUUAGAAGCUUGGUUGAAGCUUCAAGUUAGUGGAAUCCUCACUCAAUUAGGAGCUUGAGGAGAGUGGACGUAGCCAAGGAAGUGUCGAACCACUAUAAAAUUUGAGUUUGAUUUCUCUAACAUUGUCUCUUUAUAUUUGUUUAUCUUGUGCUUAAAUUUAUUGUGUUUAAAAAGAAUUUUUAAAUACCCAAUUCACCCCCCUCUUGGGUGUUUUUCUCUUUUAAAAUUAGCCUUUAUUUUCUCACAAACUAUUGUAGUAUAGUGGUUUUUAGGUGUCAUCCAUUAGGAUGAAUUGUUCUCGGUAAUUAAGGCGUGAAUGAGAGGAGAAUUAAUGAUUGUGAUUAAGUAAAAUUGAUUUGAAAAUUCAUGGUGAAAAAUCAAUUUAACAAUGGUUUCUAAUUGAGAAAAACAAUGAAAUGUGAAAUAAAAUAAAAUUAAUAGGAAAUGAAAUUCUCGAAGUUAGAAUUUUCUAAAAAACAAAUUCCAUGGUGAAUGGAUGUUGAGAUCUAAUUUUCAUCAAGUUAGAUUGAAAACCGAAAUUUUCAUAUAAACUGAUUUUUUAUUUAGUUUUAGGUCUAGAUUUAAUUUCCCUUAAAAUUAGGUUAUUUAAUCCAAGAAAUCAAUUCAAAUCAUAUAUUCAAUUCAUCUUAAAUUAUCUUCCAAUUAUUCACACAAUGCAACUAUUCAAUCUCAUCAAAUCUAGCUUUUAAGAAUUUAAUGAAUCUACCUAGUUUGCAUUGUAAUAGUCAUCCAUGACAAUUUGAAGAGAAAAAUAAUUCAAUUAAUCAAUCACUUGGAUCAAAUUACCUUUGCAAUUAAAGUUCAUUUCUCUAAUUCACCACAGAUUUUGUCUCUAGAUCCUCCUUUCUCAAAGAAAAAUGAGAUUUAGCCACACAUGAUUGGAGAUUUGGUCUCAUAAGGCAUGUUUAGCUAGUGAUAAAAUGAGAGAAAAUAAAGAAAAAUAGAGAAUUCGAUUAAGAAAGAAAAUCUAAAAAAUUCUACAAUUAGAAAUGUCCAAAAAGCUUUUUCAUGAGAAAAUCAAGUUUCUAUUUAUAGGCCAAGGUCAAGUGGACACUUGACAUCAUCUAAGAGGUCUUCCGGAAGCUUCUUCAUCAAGAAAUCUGGAGUUUAAUAAUAAAAUGGUCAUUUCACAAGAGCUCAAACAAUUUCGCAUGAUUAUGUGAAAUAAAAAAUGCAACAACAGCAAUUUACAUCUUCUUGGAGCAUUUCGCAUGACUGUGUGAAAUUUUCACAUGAUCAUGUGGAAUCGACUUGACAACUCUCAUUUAGCCUACAACAUAAUUCCACCUUUUGGUCCAUUUUUCAUAGUCAUGCGAAAUGGAAAUAUUUGAUUUUUAAGUUUUCUUUUGUCAUUUCUUUCAUUUCCUUCUCUUGAUUCCACUUCAACUACCUCCGAAUCCUGGUCCAAACCAAUUGCAUUACUUCUUUCAUUAUGCAUUUGGAUCAUCAUCAACAUUAUUUGUUCUCUUCAAUUUGAUUCAUCUCUUUUGUCACCAAUUUAUCAAAAUCAUACCUUGAAAUGACUCCAAAACUUCAUAAAACUUGUUAGUAACUCUUGCAAGGGCAACAACAUAUUAAUUAAGUGUUUUAGGCAUAGUUACUACUCAAAAGAUGCGAAACUCAUGAUAAUUAUUAUAUAAAAUAUGCUCUUUUUGAGUAGUAAUCAACUUUCUUGCAUAAGCAGACCUUUUAGGGUGGAGUACUAAAGACCAAUAUGCUUGUCCUUGUUGUAAUAAAGAAACUUGCUCUUAUUGAUUGCACCAUGGGAGAAAAUUUUGCUACAUGAGUUAUCAUCAAUUUCUUCCCACCAAUCAUAGAUUUAGACGUGACAAGAGGCCUCUUAAUGGCAAGGAGGAACUGACACUCACACUUAUACAAUUAUCGGGCAUUGAUGUGUUGCAACAAUUAGAAUAACUUACACCAAUUAUGUUGGGGAAGUCACAAAAGGCAAACAUGAAAACUAAAAGGAAAAAAGAAAAAUGUUACAUAUCACCACAACUGGAAAGAAAAAAGUAUUUACUUUCAUUUGCCAUAUUGGAAAGCACUUAUUUUACAUCAUAAUAAUUUAGACAUAAUGCAUAUUGAGAAAAAUGUGUGACAAUAUAAUUGAGACAUUGUUCAGUAUUGACGAAGAAACAAGGACAACCUAAAUAGUCAUCUCGAUUUACAAGCUCUAACUAUUAGAAAUGAGAUUCACCCAAUAGAAAGCAGGACCAAAUUUAUUUUGCUUGCAACAUGCUACUCACUCACCCCAAAUGAGAUUAAGGAAUUUUGCAAGUUUUUGAAAUCAAUAAAGGUCCCCAAUGGCUAUUCUUUCAAUAUCUCUCGUUAUGUGCAACUCAAUGAAAGGAAGAUAUAUGAGCUCAAAUUGUAUGAUUGUCAUGUCCUAAUGCAACAACUUCUCUCACUUGUAGUUCGUGGAGUUCUACAUAAGAAUGUUUGUGGAGUUAUCAUAGAAUUGCGUAAUUUUUUCAAGCAAUUGUGCUCAAAGGUGUUAGAAACAAAUCACUUACACCAACUUGAGAACAAUAUUAUUGUCAUACUAUGUAAAAUGGAGCAAAUAUUUCUUCCAUCAUUCUUUGAUAUUAUGGUGCAUUUACUUGUGCAUCUAGUAAGGCAAAGGUUGCAAGACUUGUGCAAUAUUGUUGGAUGUACCUAAUUGAACGAUAUUGUUAUAAUUUCAUAUGAAUCAUUUAAUUUUAUUUUAUAUUAUGUUCAGUUCAUUAACAUGUACAUUGGUCUACAUAUGGAUGAUGAUAGGUACCUAAGCACUUUAAAGUCAUAUGUGCGUAAUAGAACUUUUCUAGAAGGUUCUAUUGUAGAAAGGUACCUUGCAAAAGAAUGUACAACAUUUUAUUCUAGGUACUUGAAUGAUGUGGAAAUAAAGUAUAAUCACAAUGAUAGAAACUUUGUUGGUUUCAACACUAGAGGAGAUGAAAGGGGUUAUCUUUAAACAUAUUGGACAUGCAUUGGGAAAGCCCAUAUUUCAUUAACUUAGUUCAAAAGAGUGGUCACAAGCACAUUUAUAUGUGUUGACAAAUUGCGAAGAUGUCAUACCAUUCAUUGAGUAAAAAAUUUAUUUGAAUUUUAAUUAAAGCUCUAGUUUAUAUCCUUAAUCAAUGUUUUUUAAAUUCACAAGGAGCACAAGCAAACCAUCAAGGCUAGACCACAUAUACGUGUUUGAGACGUAGAUUUAAUUCAUAACAAGGAAUUUAUCAAGUGGUUUGAAAGACAUGUAAGUAUAUUCCUUAUUAUAAGGGAUUUAUUUCACAUUAUGUUUAUAUUGAAUCCAAACCUAUUAUUGAAUUGUAGGUUGAACAAUUACAUAAUGAAGGUCAUAUAUCUGAACACCUUCUCACAUUAUCAUGUGUUCCAAAUUCAUUAGUUACAUGCUUCAAAUGAUAUAUUGUCAAUGGAUUUAGAUCCCACAUUAAAGAACGUGAUAAAAAAGUUUUUAAAAAAAGACUCAGAAUAAUGGAAUUGUUGUAGUUGCAAAAACGUCAAGCUUUACAAGUGCAUGUGAUAUGAGUCCAAUUAUUAGUGAUGCUCUCUACUAUGGUGUUCUAACUAAAGUUGUUGAGUUACAUUAUCUUGGUGAAAAUAAGGUUGUUUUAUUCGAGUUUGAUUGGUGGGAUGUUACAAAUAUUGGAAAAUUGAUAAAAGAUGAUGAGUACAAUUACACAUUUGUUAACUUUGCAUGAAUUCUAACCACGAACGAACGAUUUGUACUUGCAUCUCCAGCAAAGUAAGUGUUCUAUGUGAAGAAUGCGAAUGAAUCAGAUUGGCAUACUAUCAUGGAGAUGCAACCUCAAGACCUCUAUAAGAUGAACGGGAUAGGAUCCAAUGGUGAUUUUGAACCAUUUCAACAAAGUGAACUACAUGAUCACUAAUAUAUCUCAGAUUUAGUUGAUGAAGAUAUAAUCAAGUGGAACAAAAGUGAUGUUUUAGGACUAAUCAUCCUAAAAAAUAUUGUAGUUUCUUAAAAAAAAAAUGAAAAUGAAGAAGAUAAUUGAACCUUUGUCAUACUUUAAAAAGCAACUAUGCAUUGUUCAUUUUGUAUGUUUUGGUUUUCUUCAUUUAAUUUCCUGAUUUUUGUGAUUCAAUGUCAUAUUAUUGAUCUUGAAAUAUUUUUCUAAUUUUUCAUUCUACGAUGGUUUCAACAAGGAUGACAUCAAGUCAAAAAAGGAAAUGUGGUCCCACACACAAUAUUGCAUUACAGGGAUUAAGGUCAGGGAAGAAGGUAAAAGUUGCAUUUAAUGAGUACAAUCAAUUGGUUAAACAGAAAAAUGGAAAACACUUAUCGAGCUACAUAGGGACACUUGUAUCUAACCAACACAAUGUACCUCUCCAAGCUAGUGAUUGGAAAAAUGUUCCAAAUGAUGCAAAAGAGAAAGUAUGGCCUUUGUUUUGGUAUGUUGUAUUUCUCACUAUAUGAUGUCAUUUCACUGUUAUUCUAUUUUGUGACUAACGUUUGAAUCAUAUGUAAGAAAAAUUUGAAGUAGAUAAAGACUGAAAAGAUUACAUGUUGGGUAUAGCCUCAAAUAAAUAUAGAAGCUAUAAAAAUAUGAUGAAUGCAAAAUACUAUGACCCUUGGCAUAAGGAUGCAUGAGGAGAGGUUAAUACAUAAAUCACCAUUUGUCUCUGAUGUUGAUUGGAAGUGGCUUGUCUCUGAUGCAUAAACCAAAUCCCCCACUGAAUGUUUGAUAUUUGAUAGCAGGAAAAACACACCCGCAGCUAUACACCUCCAUCAUUCAGAUAAUUAUAGUGGGGGAGAUGAUUCAUGGUUGCCCUUAUACCCUUUAUUUGCACCAUCUAUUGAGAUUCUUUAUCAUGGCCAGGUUUUACUGCAGCAAUAAGAUAUGGUGGCAACAAUUUUAUCUAUAGGUGCGGUUCCAGACCGCCUCCAUAGGUGCGGUUCCUGACUGCCUCCAUAGGUGCCUCUUCUUGUAAUGUUUGUUCUGGGAAUUACACUUGAAAGCCUUAUCGUGAUAAGGGAUUACAAACACUAGUUCAGAGGACAGCCAUGUUAAACUUCCACUAUGUUUGUGUCACAUUAUCAGCAGCCUAGUGUUUAUUGGUCAUGCUAUCUGCAACUAAUAUAACCCGGUGAACUUCAAUCUAAAUUCUGAAAGUACUCAUGUGACAGAUGGUGCCUUUCAGCAGAUAUCAUCAAUUUAAAAGUAGUGUGUGUGCCUAUAGGUGGGAAGGCCUUGGCAAAUGUUCAGUAUUCCGGUAAUUCAAGAAGGAUAUAUCUAAAAUAGAUUUUCUUCUUGCCCAUUUCAAUAGUUAAAAUUUGAGAAGAUUGUGUCCACAUCACACAAAUAUUAUUGGUCCUUCUGUUGCAAUUUACCUCUGAACAUGUCUUCCAAUUCCCACGGUCCUGUUACUCCAGGAAAACUAUUUCGGUCAUAUUGAAAAAAAAAAUAUUAAAGAAGGUACACAUGCUUUUAAGUGGACUGGGGCAUUCAUAUCAGGUGGUCUGUAUCCACAUAUGCCACUUCGUGAAAGGUGGAACAGCCUAAUCACUAGGCUAUUUAGUGUGGCCCAGCCACGUUAAUCAAGCACAAGUCUUCAUACUUAAAGUCAAAUGGUGUCUUUAGUCUCAUUACACAUCGCUAUUUGAAGAUUAACUCAUCACUAGUGUAAUGCGAUUAAGACAGUCCUAACUCAAUAUUUGUUCUAGUUUUGGAUGCAAAUGCUUGCUGGUUUCAUCAUUGGAUGGGAUAAAGGUGCAAUCAGGACUAUGAAUACGUGCAGUAAUACUUCAUUCUCUUUUUUCUCAAUGAGACUUCUUGGCACAAUUUUGCUGCUCAGCAACCUACCUUUCCAUGGAAAAUCAGUUGUGACUGAUAGUAAUGGAUAUAUUCUAGAAAGCUAAACAUAGAUAGCAUUCAAUAUUAUCGAUAUAACAUUAACAGCGUAUGUCUCAAUGCUCAUCAGCUACAAGCAAUGGACAAACACUUUGAGUAACUCACAGCAGUCAAAAUUCCUAAACAGGACAGACGUGACAGAUCUAUAUAUAGAACACUGCAUAUGAGUCACAGGAAAAGAUAAUACGGGUACAUAGAAGCUCUUAUUUUACAUAUUACUCAUACUGAUCAAAGUCGCUCAGUUGGGAUGGAUGGGAGAAGGAGGUUUGAGGGGUGGCUUGUGCGGGGAAGUUGGCAGCUUCUUUCCGGGAGCUGGUUGCUUCUUUGCUGGAGUUGAAGGAGGCUUAAUCUUCCGAGGUGGCUUGUAUGAGUCUUCAGCAUUCUCAGCAGGAGGGUGACCAGGGUUGUGACCAUAAUGUGGUGGCUUCUCUCCCUUAGGUGGUUUGCCAACUGGGGUUGGUGGCUUGUUUUCUGGGAGUGGCUUCUCUCCCUUGGGUGGUUUGCCAACUGGGGUUGGUGGCUUGUGUUCUGGGAGUGGCUUCUCCCCCUUGGGAGGUUUUUCGAAUGGGGUGGGUUUGUGUCCUGGUGGUGGCUUCUCUCCCUUGGGAGGUUUACCAAUUGGGGUCGGUGGCUUGUGUUCUGGGAGGGGCUUCUCUCCCUGGGGAGGUUUAGUGGGUGGCUUGUGUUCUGGAGGUGGCUUCUCCACCGGAGGCUUAUGCUCUGGUGGUGGCUUCUCGAAGGGGGGAUGCUCAGGGUAAUCACCAAGUGAGGGGGUGGUGAGAACCACCAUGCCAAGCAACAACACUAGCAAGUAUGUAGUAGACAUCUUUGGGUUUGGACUCAGACAGUGCAAAACUACGAGAAAUCGCUAGCCCUUUAUAGCGGCUCGGACCUAAUACUGACAUAAUAUAAAAUAAAUAUUAUAUUUUAUCAAGAGAGAACAGAGUGUAAUUUUAUCAUUAAUACCGAUCGAGGCCAAAGAAAGAAGACCCAUAAUCCAUUUCCCACAAGCAUACACAAUGCAGCUGUAAUUUUAUCAUUUACUUUUAUCCCUUGGACCACUGCAUUUUUGUUGAGAGACACAAUAACACAUUUUUAUCUGUCAUUCAACAUUUACAGUAAAGAGAGGGCACAAAACGCAAUUAGAUAAAUUAUGUUUUGCCUGCUAAAAAGAGGCAAAUAACUUUAUUUGCAACAUAAUUAUUUUGGUUUCUAGUGACCCCGGGGCCUUUCGGUUGGUUUGGGAUCGGAAAAUGAACAUCAUAGGGGGGGUUGUGCCCUUAUGGGCAUAUAUAUCUGAUAGCUUCAACUGGCCUUGUUCCUAGAAAGAAAUUGCCAAAGAUAUAAACUUAUUCCAGGCUGAAAGUAGAUGAGAGUCAUAAUGAACAUCAACCUUUGUUCAGUUUGAUUCAAUGCCCCCAUAGUGUUCAUUUCACAGAUCUGAAUGAUUAUAUCCGUUGAAUACAUAAAUUAAUGAAGACAAAUAUGAAACCCAAGAUACAUCUCUGCAUAACAACCCCAACCCUGGUUGCUAUGUUUCCCUUCUUCUAUUCACAUGAGGAUACUGGUUAUAAUUGUCAAACUUGCAACAAGCCCUUUGACACCUAACGUCAAUGGACGAAUUAAAAGUCUCCUUCAAACGUCUAUUUCACAGCAUGAAGCUUAUAAAGGAUGCUGACAACCUUCAGAGUUAGCGACAAAAGAUAAUUAUCAAGGAGAGAUAGUUCCAUGAGAAUUCCAAGGAGUCUGAAUCAAAGACAAAUUGCUCACUCAAGGGUUCUUAUUUUCUUUUAGGUACAAAUCUCUUGAGUGUUGUUAAAGAAACACGUCACUGUCAUUUUGAUUUGCAUUUAACAUUUCACUUUUGUUCUGGAAGGUUUGUUCCGGAAACAUAUCAAAUGAGCAUCAUUUUCUUCUUCGGUGACACAUGGUCGCGAGUACGUGGGUCCAUUUUCAUGCCACUUAGUUGAAAAGUUGGAAAGAAAAAACAUGCCAACAAGAAGAUAGUGAGAGAAGGGGCACUUCAAGCCUUUAACAUGAACAAACAGUAAAUAAAAGAUGUUUCUCCACUCAUAAAAGUGUGUUAGAUAGCAAUAUAACGAAUCACAUCCAAAAUCUUUACUAGGCUCAAACAUAAAGAAGACUCAUUUUUAAGAAAAGAUAAAAAUGGCAUUGUCUGAUAGUAUCCAAUACACGAGAUGGCACUUAAUUUGUACAAGAUCUGUCAAUGCUGACGCACAUUUUCUGAUUAAAAAAAAACUGAUCAGUCAAAAGCAAUGAAGAGAAGUGAUGACAAUGAAUGAUGCUUCCAAUAUUUUCACCCCUUAUAGUGUUCUUCAUGAUUCAGAUAUAUAAUUGGAAAUAGAACAACCCUAUGCCAUACAUUCGUCUAAGUAUGGUGUCUAAUUUUUUGUGUCAGCGGUUGCGAAUGGAGCGUGCAAAAGUCCAAAUUGGCGUCUCUCCAUUUCCACAUAGGAAGGUGACCUUUAUUGACAAAUACCCAAUAUUUGUAGACAUUCCUUAAAUAUCAUAACUUCUUGUUGAUUUGAAAAUCAUUUUUCAACUACCAUGUUUUAAUAAAUAUUUUUUAAAAUGUAUUUUUAUCAAAGUCCACCAUGAUGGAUAAUAUUCACCAUGCAAUAAUUAAUAAAGUACAAACUAAGCGAAAUGAAAAGCAUUUUCUUUGCUUUGAGUUGAUUUUGGUUGCAUUGAGUUGAUUUUGGUUUCAUGGUUUUUUCAACUCUUAUUUUGAUUGGAAGAUGUCAAGAAAAGAAAACAUAAAGAAAAAUUAAAAGGGAAAAAAGAAGAAAAAUAAAAAAAAAUAGAUUUAAAAGUUAAUAAAUUAUUUUUUAUAUUUAUUUUAAUUCAUUUCACUUAUUUUUCUUUUACUAUAUAAAAUUUAAAUAAUUUAAAUUUUAUAAUUAAUUUAAUUACAUUUCAUUUUCUUCUAUAUUUAAAUAUUGGAAAAAUAUUUUACUUAAUAUUUUUUUCUUUAAUUUCUUUGGCAUUUUGGGAACCAAACUUAGCCUUUAAAAUAAAAAACAAAAAAAAAAUGAAAAUAAGGAGGGAAAAGUGAGAAAAGAUAAAAACAAUAUGUAAAGGAUUUGAAAAGUAUUAGUUUGUAAUUACUAUUUGGAUUUCAAUAGUAUUUUAUUUGUCUUUCUAUAUUUCAUGUAAGAGAGAAUUUAAGAUAUUCCCCAAGGCAAAGCAUUAGUUACCUGCAAUCAGUGGUGAUAAGGCUCCAAGCCAAUUUUGGGCCCCAUAUCUUAAGACAGUACAAUUUCCAUUUCAACAUUUCUGAUUUCUCAGAUGUUUCACAUACCACAGAAGAACAUUGUUUGUGAAAAUAUGCAUUUAUGUUGGAUUUUGUAUGCUGUGGGGACUGGGGCAAGGAUCAUAUGGAAGAGUGGUUGACUUUUUCUGUACUUUAACGGUUGAAAUAGGAUAAGCACGGGCAUUUGUGAGGCUUAAUUGAUUUUGAAGCCUGAAAUUGCGUUUCUGUCAUUUUGUCAAAAAAAUGGCAGAUUCCAUACUCAUAUGUUUGGCCUGUGGCCAUGUACAGAUGCCAUUUAGUGACCAGUUUGUAACUGUCAAUCGUUGCGUUUUGACUCUGCCUCAACAACAUCUGCCAUUGACGGGUUUUCAUACUUGCAAAUCAAAUAGUCUUUCGUCCCAUCAGGAAUUUCGGUUUAAAUAUUAUUAAGCAUACGUUUGGCUGACAAUCAUUAUCCAGUUCAUGAUUUGGUUUCUUACCCUUAAUCAAUGGUUUCUAAGUGAAUAUAUGUAGAAGGAAAUCCGAAGUGUAGACAGUAGUAUCGAUAACUCUCAAUAUUCUCUAUAUAAUAGAAUAAACAGCGUCAUAGUGAUCGUCGCCUACAAGCAAGGUACAAAUACCAAAACGAGUGACUCACAUAGACAUCUCCCAACAAGAUGUAGUAGUGACUGACACAUGGACACAAUUAACUCGUAGAAAAGGAUAAGACCAUUGCACAGCAGCUCUUAUUUUACAUACUACUUAUGCUAACCAAAGUCAAUUAGUUGGGAUGGGUGGGAGAUGGAGGUUUGUGCGGUGGCUUGUGGGGCGGAGUUGAUGGCUUCUUUCCAGGAGCUUCUGGCUUUUUCAUCGGAGCUGAAGGAGGCUCAAUCUUAUGAGGCGGCUUGUAUGAGUCUUCUUUACUCUCGACAGGAGGGUGGCCAGGGUUGUGAUCAUAAUGUGGUGGCUUCUCUCCCUUAGGUGGCUUGCCAACUGGGGUUGGUGGCUUGUGUUCAGGAAGUGGUUUCUCUCCCAUGGGAGGUUUAGCAAUUGGGGUUGGUGGCUUGUGUUCUGGGAGUGGCUUCUCUCCCUUGGGAGGUUUAGUAGGUGACUUGUGUUCUGGAGGUGGCUUCUCCACCGGAGGCUUGUGCUCCGGUGGUGGCUUCUUGGUUGGAGGGGGCUUGGGGUAAUCAGCAAGAGAUGGGGUGGUGAGAACCACCAGUCCAAGGAACAACACUAGCAAGUAUGUGGGAGACAUUUUUGAGUUUGGGCUGAUCAGAUGAUGCAAAACUAAAGCAUUACGUGACCUUUUAUAGCAUGUAGCUCCCAAUACCCACUAAGUAUUGUGGGGUCCAUUUGUGCCCUACGGGGUUGAAAACUUAGACAAUUGGGCAAGGACCCACCUGACUAUGGAGGACUAGUGAGGUGUGAUCAUAGCUUUAGGAUUUUUCUUCCUCUGCAGCCGUCGUGCCGUUGGCAUGAUUUUCUUAAUCUUAAAUAAAGGCAUAGUUAUAGAGUUGUUUAAUCUCUAAAUGGGAUUUUAUAUAUAUCUUCAGAUAGCCAUUAAUAUAUUUGAUGAAGAAAGAAAGACAAGUGCAUACAACAUGUAUACGACUAGCUUUCAUGGAGUUCAUUUAUGAUCAGUUUUCCUGUACAUGUAAACCAGGAUCAUAUAUAUGUUUCUGUUCCACAACUAUUUUGGAAUCUUGUUUAUCAGUUUUUAUCAUUAUAAUGUCACAUAGGCUGCCAACUUGGGCGCUAAAAGAACCAGUUGGGCUAGUUCGUUUCAGAAUUUCAAUGUGGAUUCAGGAAUUGUUUUGUAAGAUAUGCGAAAUAGUAGAGGGAUGAAUAGUGUUUCAUUAAUAAAAGUGUCCUGUAAAUUAGAAGGUGUCAUAGAAACUAUAAUCAAUAAAUAACUUUUUUUCCCCACGGGUGGUGUUUCUUGUGGGGAUCAGUGACUGGUUUAGGUUCACCCAAAAUGAGUUCAGACUAAAAUUGGUUUGAGUCAAUGCCGUGUCUCUUUUUUCCAGAAAUCAACUAUUUUAUGCAUUGAAUAAAUCAUACAAAGAAAAUAUGAACGCCCGCAAAACCUAAACCCUGGUUGCUAACUUUCUAUGUUUCAGUUCUAUUCACGCAAGAAUAUUAGUUUAAGUUUGGGAAAAAUGGCAACUUACCUAGUGAUUACUUGGUUUUGGUUUGCGACUAUUUACGCAACCAACCAUGAGUUUGACUUUAACGUCAUGGGUUGAAGCCUCCUACAGGAAGGGAGAAAGCUCCACAGCUAGCUCCAAAAGAGAAUUAUCACAUUGAUAGCUCCAGAGAUUCCCAAGGGGACUGAAUCAAAGACAAGUUCCUCACUUUUUCUUCUUUUGAGGCCAAAUAUGAACCAAGGAUCACACAACCUCAUUCAACUUCAUAAGUUUGAUUUCAUGCAGUUGAACACUGGGUGAAGGCCAUGACAAGAAUUGAUUCAAAAAUUCUAUCACUCUUUUAAGUAAUGGAAGAUUAUUAUCUCUGAUUGGCAUCACAACAGCACAUGCUCCUAGAUCUUUCUAGACACUCCAUGCAAUGAAAGCACAAUGGAUCUUGUAACGAUAGAAACUAAGCCAUGCUACAGUACUAGAUGAUGAGGUAAAACUAGUAGACACGGGUGGCAGCCUAUAUGGGAGGGACACAAGUCUAAUUGAUUUGCAUUUCAGCAUUAUAGAUAGGUAUGUUUUGGAAGAUUUGUUCUGGAAAUACCGCACCAAGUAGGAUUCUUUUUCUCUUUAGUGGGUCCACUUGCAUGCCAAUUAACGAGUUGAAAAGUAUGAGCACCUACCUCGUGCUCGUGGAACCGAAGGUCAGUGAAGUGGGGCUCCUUUUGGCCUCGUGUAAACUUGAUUCAGAAGUGAAGUUAAUAGUCUUCCAUUCAGAUGGAUACAUGGGAAUUUUUCUCUUUUAUUUAUUUAUUUAUUUUUUUUUUGUGUGUGUAUGUCAAAGGAUAAUGAAUGAAGCGCGUUAGCUUGUUUUCUGACUGGAACCGCAGAUGUCCAAAUUGGAGUUCCUUCAUUUCUUACUUAGGAUUGUUACAUGUAUAAACAAGGUAUAAGAAAUAUGCCAACGUGUCUUGAGGAGUUAUUGAUUAGAAAUAACAAGUCACCCGACUGUAGAGUUCCAAGAUUUGAAUCUUCAGACCCUAUAGCAGCCUCUGGGGUACGUGGCAUCCUAUAGCAUAUUAAUGAAGGCUUUUUCGAUUUAGACUUCACAAUACCAAUUAAUAUGUAUGCACAAAAUGGAGAUGACCCCAAAAAAAACAGAAUCGCCAUAGUUUAUGAGGUUAAGGUGAUUCUCCACUUAAUAUCUACAUUAGCUAAUUAUGUAAAUCAAAUGAACUUCUAUUUUUCCUUUUUUUUUUUGGUUUAUGUCAAAUAGUAGCCCAUAAUUAACCCAACCAUUAGCCUGUUUGAAUUGAUUUCACAUGCACAAUGUUGUAGUAGUUCAUAUUUUGAAUUUUAUUUUUACAAAGGUAGUUAAGGAAAAUGAAGUAUAAUAAUUAUAAAAGCAGACUAUAUACACUACAAUAAUUGUUAGAAUGGUAUCUCAAAUUCUAAUUUAAAAUAUUAUUUUUUGUAAAAGAAAUAUUAUAUAGAAUAUUUCCUAAUUUUAUAAAUGAUUAUAAUUAGAUCUUUAUAAAAUAAGGAAAGUUGGUAAGAAUAUCUUUAUAAAUAUUUUAGGUCAUGAGAGAAAGAAAUGGGAUAAAAAUGUGAUGAAGAGGUGAAAUAAGAGAGUUGAUUAGGAUAUAGAUGUGAAGAAGAAAGGGAUUCAAUAUAUAUAUAUCUUUCAAUUACCACAUUAAAACCCUGUGAACCUUUUAUAUGGUUUACUUUAUUUUUAUAUUCCUCCUUUAAUAUAUUUACAUUAAUGCUUCCAUUGGCACAACAAUAACGAAUUACAAAUACAAGCAACAAGUCCCAUGUUUUAUUACCAAAAGCAGGUAAAAUCCACCUAAUAUAUUACAAUAUAUUCAUCCAAUAUUUUAGACCAAUUCUUCACCAUAAAUAUCAUAAUGUGGCUUUUGUUCUUUCUUAAAUUUAAAUUGAAUUGUCUUAUAUCAAUUUGUUUGUGAUUUUUUCAUUAACUUCACUUUCAUUUGGUUAUCUUUGGUUUUUGAAAAGUAUUAAGGAAUUAAUUAACAAAAUAAUGUUAAGAAAAAUAAUUUUCUCUCUUUUGAUUUUGAUUUUGUAGUAGAAAAAUAUAAUUAAAAUUAUUUAAAAAGUAUGUAAUUUUAAAUUAUUUAAUAUUUAGAUAAAAAAAAUAAGUCUAAUGAGUUUAAAAUAACAUAUAAAAAUAAUUUAUUUAUUUUAAAUUUAUUUUUUAUUUUCCAUUAUGUUCUCUUUCUCUUUUACUUUUUCAUAUUUUUUCUUACGAAGAAUCAAACACAACCUCAUAUUAUAUGUCAAGUGUUUGUCUAUAUUUGAGCAAUGUUAGAUACGGCCAUGGAUUCAUCAAACUAAACUGAUUUUAAUAGAUACUUCACAAAUUGAUUUAUACACUAAAUCAUUGGAUAGCAAUGAUGCAUUGGAAUUAAACGUAGGAUGAAGCUCGAAGAACACUGUUUGUGUAACAACAUAUUUAUGAAAUUAUGCAAAGGAUGAGCUUCGGGGUAGUAGUACAAGGUCAUUAAUGGAGAGCCGUGUUAAACCUUGAUUGUGAUUGGAUUCCGUUAUCAGCAACAGCAACCUUGUUUGUAACCUUGAAAGUCAUUCUGUCCACAUCGAAACUCCAAUUUGACGUUUGUAAUUACCAUUCCUGGAGUGUUCCUUGAUUGAAAUUUAAAUAAUAAUUGCGGCCCACAAGGAAUAUUUUCGAUUCUGUGGGAAUUUGACAAGGUUUGUUAGAGAAGACUGGUGACAUGUUGACUUCAAUGGUUCAAAUAGGAGACGUAUGUGGAUUUGGGGGGUUUAAUUGAAACUGAGUCCCUAUGGCUUUUUAAUAUUUGCAUUGAGCAGUCUCCAUGUGACUUCCUAAUUCCCACCAACCCUCCUGUCCAUGCUGUGAAACUAAAUUGUAAUUUAUCAGCCUUUGUCAAUGGUUUCUAAAUUAAAGAUAUAGACCAUGCAUGUACUUUAAUAAAAGCAAAUCUAAAGUGUAGAUAGCAGCAAUGGUGACACCCAAUAUUCUCCAUAAAAUAGAAUUAGAAUAAGCAGUGUUACAUUGUUCAUGAUCACCUACAAGCAUACAAGAACUUCCAUGAAUAACUCAUAGCAAUUGCCAACAGGGCGUCGUAGAGACUCAUACAUAGAACACUAUCCACCCAGAGGAAAGGACAAGACCAGUGCGCUGCAGCUCUUAUUUUUCACAUGUAUACCACCACUCGUAAUAACCAAAUUCACUCAGUUGGGAUAGGUGGGAGAUGGUGGUUUGUGGGGUGGCUUGUGGGGAGGAGUUGGAGGAGGCUUUAUUUUCUGAGGCGGCUUGUAUGAGUGUGCAGGAGGAUGCCCGGGAGUGUGACCAUAAUGUGGUGGCUUCUCUCCCGUAGGUGGUUUGCCAAAUGGGCUUGGUGGCUUCUCUCCCUUAGGAGGUUUACCAAUUGGGGUUGGUGGCUUGUGUUCUGGGAGUGGUUUCUCUCCCUUGGUAGGUUUGCCAAUUGGGGUUGGCGGCUUAUGUUCUGGGAGUGGCUUCUCUCCCUUGGGAGGUUUGCUAAUUGGGGUUGGCGGCUUAUGUUCUGGGGGCGGCUUCUCUCCCUUGGGAGGUUUGCCAAUUGGAGUUGGCGGCUUAUGUUCUGGGAGUGGCUUUUCUCCCUUGGGAGGCUUGCCAAUUGGGGUUGGCGGCUUAUGUUCUGGGGGUGGCUUCUCUCCUUUAGGAGGUUUGCCAAUUGGAGUCGGCGGCUUAUGUUCUGGAAGUGGCUUUUUUCCCUUGGGAGGUUUGCCAAUUGGGGUUGGCGGCUUAUGUUCUGGGGGUGGCUUCUCUCCCUUGGGAGGUUUGCCAAUUGGAGUCGGCGGCUUAUGUUCUGGGAGUGGCUUCUCUCCCUUGGGAGGUUUUGUUGGUGGCUUGUGUUCUGGAGAUGGCUUCUCCCCUGGAGGCUUGUGCUCCGGAGGUGGCUUCUGAAAUGGCGGGGGCUUGGGGUAAUGAGCAAGAGAUGGAGUACUGGUGAGAACCACCAUUCCAAGCAACAAUACUAGCAAGCAUGUGGGAGACAUCUUUGAGUAGUUGUAGCUAAGAUGGCGCAACACUGUAGGCAUUGGGUGGCCUUUUAUAAAGGGCUGGACCCAACAGCCAUAUGACACGUGUCAUGAUGACAAAUGAAGUUGAGGGGAUCCAGAUGGGUCCUACUGAGUCGAAAACUUGCACUAAUUGAUCUGGUGAGAUGACUAUUUCUGUCCUUUUGCCCUUCUCGGCCACCCUGUGCUGUUUUCCUUUUGCACGAUUUUCGUUGCCAAACAAGCAAAUAAUAUUUCGCCAAGAAAGAGGAGAGUGAAUGUGGAAUGCAUCAAGUCCCAUCAAGGAUGGCAGAGAAGAAAUAGAAGAUUGCCCAACUGUGAUAAACAUAGCAUACACGUAGCACCAGGAACUUCAUUUACUUCCAUCUAAUGGAACAUAACAAUCUUCUAAAGUUUUUGCAUGAUUUUGUUAUAUGUCUCUUAGCCUAAAGUUGGAAAUGCGCAACAAAUUUUGUCACUUCUCUAUUUCCCACUGAUGAUGUUAAUUAGCCUUCAUAGAUAUCAUCCUUUCUACAAAGUGCUUCAUUUGUGUGUUAUUGUAAAGUGUAAGAAAAGUAAUUGAACAUGUUCUUUUUCCUUUCAUAGAUGACUUUUGAUGUGCAUUUUAAAAGCAGCGCUGUGAGUCGGUGACCUUGAUUCACACGGAAACUAAGGCUCCUAUAGGACCCACUUUUAGCUGGUUAGGGGUGAAGAAAAUAUCAACUUUUCAGAGUGAUUUAAGUCAAGGCCAAGCCUCACUGUGUCAUUACUCGUGUGAAUUUUAUAUGCACAUACAUACAUAAAUAAAGUAUGAGACCCAAAUAACACCUUCCCUUUACAAACUUAACCCCAGCCGCUCUCUUUCAAUUCUUUUCACACAAGGGUAUUGACUCUAUAAAGGUCAAGAAAAUCAUAAUUUCCUAGGGUUUACAAGGUAAUUGGCUUAAUGCUAAUGUGAAAACAUAAAAGAUAAUAGUAUAUUGUAAGCUAACGAAUAUUCUAUAGUUAUAAUUAUUUGUGAUGUGCAUAAAUAAAUCUUCAUAUAUAUAAUGGAACAAUGAAUAAAGAACCAAUGAAAAAAUACUAUAUAUCAUUGCUUGGCAUUUAAACCGUAUAUGCUGCUCUUUCUAGCUACUCCAUCCACUGAAAGACAACAAGGUAAUCCAUGUUAUAAUGAUAGAAGAUACUGUCUCUAGGCUUUUUGUGAUGAAAAAUAUAAGAUAUGGGUAGGGUUGACCCUUGUAUGUUUGUCCUAUAAACACUUCAAAGUAACAUAUUUUUCUUCUUUAGCAACUCAUAAUGAUGGGGUUCAUUUGCAUGUCACUGAGUUGAAAAGUUGGACAAUUGCCCAUGUCGCCUUCCUCCUAGAUUCCGUAGUUCACGGGAAGGUAACUCAAGUUUGACAUAUUUUGAAUUCUUUUCACUCGGACGUCUUCAUAACCUGACAAAACAAAAAUGAAAAACAGAGGAUUGGUAUAUUAUUCAUGGUAAGCCUCAAAUUAUAGUAGUAUGAGAAAGGAGAAAAAGAUUUUGGGAACUCCAAUCUGGAUAAUUCUCGUUUCUUCUCUUGAAUAAAAAUUUCACUUACCUAACUUCGUUUGGAGAAAUGGCAUAUUUUAAUUUUGUACGUCAUUGCUAAUAAAUGGAGCAAUUUAGCAUGUUUUGUGACUGAAACUGCAAAUGUCCAAUUGGCAUUUCUUCAUUUCCCACUUAGGAUCUGAUCUUGUAGACCAUAUAACGAUAUGUAUCUGUGCAAGCAUUGAAAACUAAUGUGAACUAUGAGGAGUUACAAGCCACUGGACUGUAGAGCGAGUGCCAAGAUUUAAAUCUUCAGGCUCUAUCUGGGUAAGGGGAGGAUAGCGACCUAACCUUUUACCAAAGGCUUAGAAUUUAGACUUUUGGAAAAAAAUUUCUCAUGUUUUGGCUGGAUUUCUUGUGCUUGGCGCAAAAAGGAGAUGGCCUCAAGAAAUAGCAGACUCACUUUUGUUUUCAGCCCUUAAUAAUUCUCCACUGCUUUCCAUAACUACAUGGGUUAUACAUGCAGUCUGCUGCAAUAUUCCAGUUAUAUUUAUUAUUUCAAAGAGGGUGAAUGACUUCACAUGCAAUAUGUUGCAGUAACAACCCAAAUUUUGGCACACCAUCUUAAGAAUAGAAAAGUAUAAUAAAAGAAAUCAAUCAGAGAAUCACUUUGCAUGCAGUUCAUAGAGUUCGCCCAAAAUGGAGCCACAUGUACGGACAACCCCACAAUAGACAAUCUUCUCUAUACAGUAAUAAAAUACAGAAAUGGUUAAUGAAGCUCUGUAUUUCCUUAUCAUAUAUGACCGGUUGAAAACUCAGCAAGUCUUCCUCAAUCACAGACAGUUGGAGUUGCUUCAUCAAAAUCAUGCCUUCAUUACUGGCUUCAUUUUGGUUUCAAUGUCUGUUCUACCCUUAAAUUGGGUCUCUGCUUACUACCGGGAUAUCCUUUAGCGUCCUGCAAUUCUACUAGAUUAAAGAGAAUGACUUAAUUCUGCAUUCUGCCGUCCCUAGUCCAAGUGGUACUAGAAUUGAUGUUUCCUUUAGUGUCCUUUCUUCAUACUUUCAGGUUCUUCCCUUGUUUCAAUAAUGCUGUUUUCCUUCAUGUUUAACCUCUGUUGAACCACUUAAAACAACACAAUUUGCACACCAAUGUUUCUUUACAGAAAAGACUGUUUGCAAAAAUGCACAUGUUAUAAGGUUAAUGGAAGAAUUAAUUUGGGGAUAAGGGACUAGGAUUGGGCCAAUGAAGUUUGGUGUUAAAUUUUGAUUAUGAUUGCUUUUCAUUAUCAGGUACCUUAUAUUUGCUGAUGCUAUCUGGAACUAAAUUCAAAUCAGACAUUAUCCGAUUACUAACAGGACAUAUCAUGUCCCUCUGCAGAGUUUCUAAACUAACAUGUAUCGAAAUGUGGCCCCAAAAGGAAGGCUAGGAAGAUGGAGGAUUUUGUAGGAAUCGACCAGAAUCAGAUGGAAGAGAGAUAGUCCUGUUGACUUUAAUGGUUGUGAUAGGAACAUGCAUCAUUAUAUGAGAAGUUGCAUGAAUUUAUGUAUCCUGUUAUCGUUCCUUGACGAUUUCCCAAUGCAAUUUCACUGUCCACAAGACUAACCUCUCCAUGCAGUCAAAUGAAUUGUAAUUUCUCUAUUGGUACCAGUAGUACAUUUCAUACCAAACAUAUAGUAAAUAUAAAAUAUAAAUAGAUCAAGGAAAUCUGAAUUGUAGAUAGCACUGCAAGUAACACUCAAUAUUCUCUAUAUAUAAUAAAAUAAACAGUGUCACAAUACUCAUCACCCAGUGGCAAGGGAGAAAAACCUACAAUGAGUACUCAAAUCACCAUUCUCAAACAGAAACAUAGCAGUGACUGAUACAUAGAACCUAUAUGCUCACAGGGAAAGAAUAAGAUGACCAGUGCACAGCGGGCAGCAGCUCUUAUUUUACGUACAACUCAAAUCCCAAACUAACCAAAGUCGCUCAGUUGGGAUGGGUGGGAGAUGGUGGUUUGUGGGAUGGCUUCUGGGUAGGAGCUGGUGGCUUCUGUCCCUUUGGUGGUUUGCCUAAUGAGCUUGGUGGCUUGUGCUCCGGGAGUUGUUUCUCUCCCUCGAGUAGGUUUCGAGUCUUGUCAGAUGGCUUGUGUUCUGGUGGUGGCUUCUCUCCCUGGGGUGGUUUGCCGAAUGGGCUUGGUGGCUUGUGUUCGGGGAGUGGCUUCUCUCCCUGGAGAAGGUUACGAGUUUUGUCAUAUGGCUUUUGUUCUGGUGGUGGCUUCUCUCCCUGGGGUGGUUUGCCGAAUGGGCUUGGUGGCUUGUGUUCGGGGAGUGGCUUCUCUCCCUGGAGAAGGUUACGAGUUUUGUCAGAUGGCUUGUGUUCUGGUGGUGGCUUCUCUCCCUGGGGUGGUUUGCCGAAUGGGCUUGGUGGCUUGUGUUCGGGGAGUGGCUUCUCUCCCUGGAGAAGGUUACGAGUUUUGUCAGAUGGCUUUUGUUCUGGUGGCGGCUUCUCUCCCUGGGGUGGUUUGCCAAAUGGGCUUGGUGGCUUGUGUUCGGGAACUGGCUUCUCUCCCUUGGGAGGUUCAGUUGGUGGCUGCUGUUCCGUAGGUGGUUUCUUCACCGGCGGCUUGUGCUCCGGAAGCGGCUUCUCUACCUGGAGAAGCUUACGAGUUUUGUCCGAUGGCUUGUGUUGUGGUGGUGGCUUCUCUCCCUGGGGUGGUUUGCCAAAUGGAGUUGGUGGCUUGUGUUCGGGGAGUGGCUUCUCUCCAUUGGGAGGUUUAGUUGGUGAUUGGUGUUCCGUAGGUGGUUUCUGAAGUGGGGGAUGCUUGGGGUAGUCAGCAAGAGACGAGGUAGUGAGAACCACCAGUCCCAGCAGCAACACUAGCAAGCAUGUGGAAGACAUCUUUGAGUUCAGGCUGAGAUCUGUGCAAGGAUAACAGAAUUAGGUGGCCUUUUAUAGAGGCCUGGACCCAACACCCAUAUGACACGUGUCAUGCACUCAUGGUGACACAUAAUUCUAUGGGACCAUUUGGGUCCUACAGAAGUUGCAAAGUUGGACUACUGAGGUGUGAUCACAACUUUUGUCCUUAUUGCUUUCUCUGCGGCCAUUGCACGAUUUCCUUUAGCAUCAUUUUCUUGGCUAAAUAAGCGUAUUAUAUUUGUGGCAGACCGUCCACGUGUCAUAAACAGAUAUAUUAUAAUAAUGUAGUAUGCUUUUCUCCAAUGGAACAUGACACUCUUCUAAGUCUUGUUUUAAAUAUUGUGCAGGAUUACUUUAUACGUUGCAGUUCCAAGUCAAAAUUGGUGGGCAAACGUUGGCCUUUUUUCAUUUCACCUAAGAUUAAUGCUCACCUGGGAUAGGCACUACAUGACUUAUCUGCUCUUUUACUGUAAAGUUGCUUUGUGUAUGAGAUACACCUCCCCUGCACACCCUCAACAUUCGUUGCUCUGUUUUCCUUGUGUCCAGACGAGGAUAUUAAUUGGAGGCUGACAAAACGACUGCUAGCCCAGGAUUUACAAGGUCCUGGUUUGAGGCUUCGGUGAAAGUAUUUUUGAAAAGACACACAUAGAGAUAGUGCGUUUGGUGCAAUGCAGCACUGUGAGCCAUUCUGACGCGUUCUUAAUUUCAAAACUAAUGAAUGCUUCAAAAUUUUAAGAAGUGACAUUUCCAAAUAUUUGAGUUCGUUUAAUUGAACAUUGGAUAACUAGUGAUCAUAGAUUAUUAUCUGUGCUUGGCACUAUAAGAGGGUAUAUGCUUCUUUUUCUGGCCCCUCCUUCAAGGGAGGAGGGACAAUGUGAUCUGUAACGUUAGAAGCUAUUCCAUGUCAUCUUUGGGCUCAGUUCAAAACUAAAAGAUAAUGGGGGGGGGGGGGGGGGGCAUAUCAUUUUAUAUUUCUUCUAGAAGGUUUGUUCUGGAAAUAUUUCACAGGAGCAUAUCUUUUUCUUCUAUUACGUCAUCCGCAGCCUCCAAUAGGUCGGUUAACAAGCCACCGAGUUGAAAAGUUGGAAAAAUGGGAACACAGCCCGCCUCUUGUAUUCAGUAGUUAAAUAAAAGGUCACUAGAAGUGAGAUCCCUUUUGGCGUCUUGAUUUUCAAUCCAGCACCUCUGUGACCUGACAAACCAAAAAAACUAAAAAAUAAAAAACAGUACGUGGGUUGGUGUUAAGCAUCAAGACAUGUUAAUGAAAGAAGGUAGAGAAUAGGAUAUUGAAAUCCCAAUCCUGAUAACAUGAUUUUCUUUGCUAACAACCAUAUUAUAUUUUAUCAAGAAAGAGUAAUGCAUGUGGCGUCCAUCAAGACCCAUUAGAGUUCCGCUAAAGCUAUAGUUCUGUCAACGUUAUCAUUUACGUUUCCUCUAGAUAAUGGCAUUUUCCUCUAAAGCUCUUGCACCAUUAGGCUUCAAGUCAAAAUUUCACAUGUGAACUUUGGAAAUUUUCUCCAUUUGCCCCUAAGGAUACAGUUAGAAUUGACUUAAAAUCCUGAUUGAUAUGUACUAUUAACCAAAGAAUAUUGUAUAUAAUAAUUGAAAUAUUGUUGAUUCAUCGUGGAAAUACAUUUUGUAAGGAAAGUUGUUGAGAAUUUAGUAUGCUAUAUGGAGAAAAAAGUCAUGACUUAAGGUUGUGUAUGUAUAUUCUAUAUCAAAUAUUAGGUAGGAAUGUGGGAAAGAGCAGAGUGUAAUGAUAAGAAACAAAGAAAUAUAAGAUAUUCUUGAAAGUGGAAAAUAUAAAAUGGCUAACGAGUCAAAUUUAUGAUGCGUAAGGGGGAUCAUGUCACAUAAGAAAACCAUGGCAUACUAAAGACGUACGUGUGGUAUGGAGUAAUAAUUUUGUUAAAAUAAGUUUCUUGUUGGAGUACAUUAGGUGACUAUUCAUAACGUAUCAAAUUAAAGAGUCAAGUGCAUCAAUGAAGGCAUAUGUAGAAAAUUUGUUUGUGACAUGUACCAUAAAGAUAAGAUUGACUUGAUAGAAUUUAGUCUAAGUAGGAGUUGUUAAAGGUGUCUUAAAUUUCUAAUUGAUGUAUAUUUUUUUCUAAAAAAAUAUUAUAUAGAUAUUUUAAUAAAUGAUUAAUUCUUUGUAAAAAUACUUACAUAAUAAAAAACAUCAUUAAAAAUAUCUUUAUAAAUAUUUUAAGUUACAAGAAGGAAAAAAACCACUGUGAGAUAAUGAUGAACAUGCAACACUGUACCAAGUAAAUAAAAAUGUGAUAAAAAAAAAAGAGAAACACUCGAUAAAGGAAGGCUCGUAUAUAAAGAGUAAUAUUUUUAAUCAUAUGAUAGAAUGAUUUUCUCUCAUUCAUGAAUAUAGGCAAGAUUGGGGAACCAUUAUAAAAUUUUGUACACCUCGUGUAAAUUGAUGUUUGUCUUCAUAUUUUACACCAACAAAUGACAUUGAAGUUGUCAUUGAUAAAAGGGAAAAGGCAUGCCUCCACACCAUGUGCUUGAUUCGAAUGGUUCAAGUUUGAAGAAUUUUCUCCGGAAGAUCUAAAACAUUUUCGCCUUUAAAUUUCAUUUGAUUAUUAAUAUCCGAAAAAAUAGUUAAAUACUCUUUCUAUUUUUGAGUUGUUGAAUUUUUUGAAAGUUUUUAUAUUUGUUAUCAAGAAUUUCUAUUUUAUUAAGGGUGAAUAUUUAUAAAUAAGAUAUUAUAUAAUAUUUGGAUAAGAGAGAAUGGUGGAAUAUAAUAAAGUUUUAAUCCUUCCCAAUUUUGAACCUUUUUUUUUUUUUUUGAUAUAAUCGCCUUUCUCUUGCAAUCCUAUUAUCAGGUACCUUAUAUUUGCUGAUGCUAUCUGGAACUAAAUUCCAAUCAGGCAUUGUCCAAUUACUAAUAGGACAGAUCAUAUCUCUCUGUUUCUAAACUAACAUGUAUCGUAAUGUGACCUCAUAAGGAAGGCUAGGAAGAUGGAGGAUUUUGUGGGAAGCGACCAGAAUCAGAUGGAAGAGAGAUAGCCCUGUUGACCUAAUGGCUGUAAUAGGAGAAGCGUGUGGUUUUAUGGGACUUAACUGAUACUAAACCUGUAUGAUGCUUGGAGUGGUGUUUCUUUCAUUUUGUUAAGAAAAUAUGGCAGCAUACAUGCUUUCAACUGAGUGCAUCAGAGCAUCCAUAACAGAUGGUCUGCAACCCUAGGUGCAUGCCACUUUCUGACUGAUAAUGAAAUUGUCAGGUACCUGGCCUUGACUAAGCUCAACAGCAUCACAUAAAGAGAAGCUUUCAUACUUAGAUUACUGUUUAAAGUUUUUGCUUAUUUGAUUUCUUAAUGCCAUUAUGACAUUAUUGAUUCAAUUCUGCUUCCGAUUUUCGAAGUUCUGGGCAUCUACUGAUUGCAUCAUUAUAUGAGAAGUUGCAUGAGUUUAUGUAUCCUGUUAUUGUUCCUUUGCGAUUUCACUGCUCACGGGACUAACCUCUCCAUUCAGUCGAAAUGAAUUGUAAUUUCUUUACUGGUAGCAGUAGUACUUUUCAUAGCAAAGAUAAUAGAAAAUAUGAAAUAUAAAUAGAAGGAAAUCUGGAUUGUAGAUAGCACCAUAAGUAACACUCAAUAUUCACUACAUAAUAAAUAGACAGUGUUACAUAGGUAGAGAAACCUACAAUGAGUACUCAUCACCAUUCUCAAACAGAAACAUAGCAGCGACUUAUACAUAGAACCUAUAGGCUCGCAGGGAAAGAGUAACAUGAUAAGUUCACAGCGGGUAGCAGCUCUUAUUUUACGUAUUACUCAAAAUCUCAAACUAACCAAAGUCACUCAGUUGGGAUGGGUAGGAGAUGGUGGUUUGUGGGGUGGCUUCUGGGUAGGAGCUGGUGGCUUCUUUGUUGGAGUUGAAGGAGGCAUAUUCUUCUGAGGUGGCUUGUAUGACUCUUCGGCACUCUCUGCAGGAGGGUGCCCAGGGUUGUGACCAGAAGGAGGUGGCUUCUGUCCCUUUGGUGGUUUGCCUAAUGGGCUUGGUGGCUUGUGCUCCGGGAGUUGUUUCUCUCCCUCGAGUAGGUUUCGAGUUUUGUCAGAUGGCUUGUGUUCUGGUGGUGGCUUCUCUCCCUGGGGUGGUUUGCCGAAUGGGCUUGGUGGCUUGUGUUCGGGGAGUGGCUUCUCUCCCUGGAGAAGGUUACGAGUUUUGUCAGAUGGCUUUUGUUCUGGUGGCGGCUUCUCUCCCUGGGGUGGUUUGCCAAAUGGGCUUGGUGGCUUGUGUUCGGGAACUGGCUUCUCUCCCUUGGGAGGUUCAUUUGGUGGCUGGUGUUCCGUAGGUGGUUCCUUCACCGGCGGCUUGUGCUCCGGAAGCGGCUUCUCUACCUGGAGAAGCUUACGAGUUUUGUCAGAUGGCUUGUGUUGUGGUGGUGGCUUCUCUCCCGGGGGUGGUUUGCCAAAUGGACUUGGUGGCUUGUGUUCGGGGAGUGGCUUCUCUCCAUGGGGAGGUUUAGUUGGUGGUUGGUGUUGCGUAGGUGGUUUCUGAAGUGGGGGAUGCUUGGGGUAGUCAGCAAUAGACGAGGUAGUGAGAACCACCAGUCCCAACAGCAACACUAGCAAGGAUGUUGAAGACAUCUUUGAGUUCAGGCUGAGAUCUGUGCAAGGAUAAAAGAUUUAGGUGGCCUUUUAUAGAGGGCUGGACCCAACACCCAUAUGACACGUGUCAUGCACUCAUGGUGACACAUAAUUCUAUGGGACCAUUUGGGUCCUACAGAAGUUGCAAAGUUGGACUAUUGAGGUGUGAUCACAACUUUUGUCCUACUUGCUUUCUCUGCGGCCAUUGCACGAUUUCCUUUAGCAUCAUUUUCUUGUCUAAAUAAGCGUAUUAUAUUUGUGGCAGACCGUCCACGUGUCAUAAACAGAUAUAUUAUAAUAAUGUAGUAUGCUUUUCUUCAACGGAACUUGACACUCUUCUAAGUCUUGUUUUAAAUACUGUGCAGGAUUACGUCAUAAGUUGCUUGUUCCAAGUCAAAAUUGGUGGGCAAACGUUGGCCUUUUUUCAUUUUCCCUAAUAUUAAUGCUCACCUGGGAUAGGCACUACAUGAUUUAUCUGCUCUUUUACUGUGAAGUUGCUUUGUGCAUGAGUUACACCUCCCCUGCACACCCUCAACAUUUGUUGCUCUGUUUUUCUUGUGUCCAGACGAGGAUAUUAAUUGGAGGCUGACAAAACGACUGCUAGCCAAGGAUUUACAAGGUCCUGGUUUGAGGCUUUCACGAAAGUAUUUUUGAAAAGAUACACAUAGAGAUUGCGCGUUCGGUGCAAUGCAACAAUGUGAGCCAUUCUGAAGUCUUAAAUUUCAGAUUAAUGAAUGCUACAAAAUUCUAAGAAGGGCCGUUUCCAAAUAUUUGAGUUCAUUCAUCCGAACAUCGGGUAUAUGCUUCUUUCUCUAGCCCCUCCUUGAAGGGAGGAGGGACAAUGUGAUCUGUAUCGUUAGAAGCUAUUCCAUGUCGUCAUCUUUGGGCUCAGUUCAAUACUAAAAGAUAUGGGCGGGGCCCUUAUCAUUUUAUAUUUCUUCUAGAAGGUUUAUUCUGGAAAUCUUUCACAGAAACAUAUCUUUUUCUUCUCUACGUGAUCCGUGGUUUGAAAGUUGGAAAAAUGGGUCCGUUAACAAGCCACCGAGUUGAAAAGUUGGAAAAAUGGCAACACCGCCAACCUCUUGUAUUCGAUAGUUAAAUAAAAGGUCACUGGAAGUGAGAUCCCUUUUGGCCUCUUGAUUUUCAUUCCAGCAUCUCUAUGGCCUGAUAAAUUAAAAAACUAAAAAAAAAGACAGUACGUGGGUUGGUGUUAAGCAUCAAGAGUCAAGACAUGAUAAUGGAGAGAAAGGAUAUUCAAAUUCCAGUUCUGACAACAUGAUUUUCUUUGCUGAACUACCAUAUUAUAUUUGAUCAAGAAAGAGUAGUGCAUGUGGCCAGGAUCAAGACAUACAUUAAUUUCCACAUGAUGAAGACAGUUUCUGAGAGUUUCUUCUAAAGCUCUUGCGCGAGUAGGCUUCAAGUCAAAAUCUCCCAUGUAAACACUGGUUUUUCUUUCAUUGCCACUAAGGAUGCAGUUAAUAUUGACUUAAGAUCCUACGUGAUAUAUUUUUUUAAAAGAGCUAUAUUGUAGAUAAUAUUUGAAAUAAUGUUGAUUCGUUGUGGAAAUAUAUUUGUAAGGAAAGUUGUUGACAAUUUAAUAUAGUAUAAGAAGAAAAAAGUUAUCAACUAGCUAGAGAUGAGUAUGUAAAGUGAGGCUCACGAUUCAACGCGUAAAUAUAAGAUAUUUUAAGGCUCAAUAGUUAUGAUAUCUAUUUUAUUUUUUGUAUCUCAUAUAUUCAAAGAUAUAGUAAAAUGAUUUUACAUAUAUAUAUAUAUAUAUAUAUGAACAUAACUAUUUGUGCCAAUUGAUUUUUAUCUUUAUUUUGUAUAUUAGUAAUUAUAUUAAAGUUUUUACUAAUAUAAUAACUAAUAUAAAAGCUUUUUCUAAAAGAGUCAACAGAGCAAAACACUUAUUAUAAAAAAUAAUUUUGAUUGAAGGUGGAGUCAAUUAUUCUUUAUUUAACAUGUAAUGCAUACGGCGUGUACUUCAUAACUAAAGUAUAUAAGUGUAACAUCUCUUAUAUAUUCUCAUUCAAUCUCGAAAGUGGAAAUUUUAAAAAGAUUAAACGGUUCAAAUUUGUCGUGCAUAAAGGGGAUCAUGUCACAUAAGCAAACCAUGGCAUACCAAAGACAUAGGUAUGGACUAAGAAUUUUUUUCAAAUAAGUUUCUUAUUAGGGUACAUUAAUAGGUGACUUUUUAUGACAUAUCAAAGGAGUCAAGUGCACCAAUAAAAACAUAUAUAGAAAAUUCAUGCAUGACAUGUAUCACUAAGAGAAGAUUGACUUGAUAGAGUUUAAUCCAAAUAGGAGAUUGUUAAAAGGUGUCUCAAAUUCUUGAUUGAUAUAUAUUUUUUUUAUUAAAAAGGUUAUUAUAUAGAUAUUUCAAUAGACUAUUAAUUCUUUGUAAAAAUAGUUAUAUAAUGAGGAUGGUGAUUAAAAAUAUCUCUAUCAAUAUUUUGGAUUAUAAAAAGAAAAAAAAUGAGAUAAUGAUAAACAUAUAAAACUUGUACAAGUAGAUAAAGAUGUGAUGAAAGACACUUGAUGAAUGAAGGCUUUGUAUUUCAAGAUAUAAAUAUAUGGAGCAAAACUCUUAAUUAUAUGAUCAAAUGAUUCUCUCAUAUUCAUGAAUAUAAGCAGGAUUGGGGAACCAUGAUAGAAUCUUAUAUGCCUCUCCAUGUAGAGUGAUCGAUGUUUAUCUUCAUAUUUUACACCAGUGAAUGACAUUGAAACUCUUAUUGAUAAAAGGGAAAAGGCAUGGCCUCCACCCCAAGAAAAACAAGUAACCUCGGUUUAAAUCACUAGUCUACACCCCGAAGAGAGAACUAGCCAAACCUACUAAAAGAGAAACUUAACAAUUUAGAAAGAAACCGUCCAUGAUAAAGGGCCCCUAAAGGUCCAAUUCAGUGAGGUCGUGAACAAAAACACUUUCAUGUCAAAACAGAGAUAGGUACCACCAAAAUGUAAAGGGAAAGAUGUAAACCACGUCGAACUUUGGUAAUCAAUGGUAAAGAUAGCAUGAUAGCUAAAAGCACUAAAGCUGUGCUUGGUAUGCAAAAAUGAAAAGUGGAAAUCAGCGUCUUAUUCUUUUUCACCUUUAUUCACAUAUUAGGAUAACUAAUAUCUAAUGUUUUUUAUGUCUCAAAUUCUAUUCCAUGUUAUGGUAAACUUUCAUCUUGUUUAGAUCACUUUUGUCUGGUUUGGGCUCAAGACGAUAAGCCUAUAGAGACUUCAUAUUGGGUUGAAUCGAUGCCCUUGAUCUGAUCUGUUCGUUAGAAAAAUCUGAAUUAUUAUAAGCAUUUAGAUAAAAAAUAAAUAAAUGUGAAACACAAACUACUCCCUGCACAACCUUGACCCUAGUUACUCAGUUUCACUGCUCACAGGACUAACCUCUCCAUUCAGUCGAAAUGAAUUGUAACAAGAAGAUUUUUGACAGGAGGACGGUAGUUUAAAAUAAUAAUUUCUAAAGUACUUUUGUGAAAAAAAAUAAUUCCAAACGUGGAUUUUAUCAAGUAAAAAGAAAAAAAAAAGUUAUUUUCUUUUAAAAUCUGUUCUUCUAAAGAUGAUAUAUAUACCAAAAAAAAAAAUUGUUUUCUGAAGGUAAAAUUUUUAAAAUUCAUUUUUAAAAAAAUUUACACACUAAAAUUAUCUUUUCAAGAGAAGAUUUUUUUAAUUUUAAAUAAUUAUUAAUUUAUAAUUAAUUUGUUAUUAAUUAUUUAUUAAUUUUUUUAUUUGAAAAAUGCAUUUAUAAAAAACAAAUUUGUUAUUAAUUUAUUAAAUAAUUUUUACAAAAUAAAUAAUUUUUUUUUAUUUUAAUUUUAAAAUUAAUUUUAUUAUAUAAAUUUUAAAAUUAAAAAUAUUAAUAUUUAAUUUAAAAUUUAACUAUAAAAGGAAUAAAAUAUAGAAAAAUAAAUUAAUUUAUUAUUCAAUAAAUUAAUUUUCAAUAAAAUUUUCAGCAUUAAGAGAUAAAUUUUUAAGUAUUAAUCAAUUUAAAAAGAAAUAAUGAUCAUUUGUAUAUUAAGAUAUUUUAUUUAGUAAUUAUGAAUGAUAAACAACUAAAGUAAUUUGAAAAAAUAAUAAAAUAUUUAAAAAAUAAUAAUUUAAUACACGUAAAAUUAGAAAUGAUUAACUAUUUUUUAUUAAGAAAAAAUUGAGGAAAUAUUUUGUUAUUUAAAAUUUUUUAUUUGUUUUCAAUUUUUAAUGUUAUAGGUUUCAAGAAAAUUGAUCAAAUAAAAAUUAAGAAGUCAUUUUUUCAAAAACUAUAUAUCUAAAUAAAAGCCUUGAAAUUCAAAUACACAAUAUCAUAAAUAUAAACACCAAGUCAAUCCUUAAUUAUCAAAUGUUUUUAAUAUUAAAGAAUCAAAAUCACCUACUAUCAUGAUAAUAAGAAAACCAAUAAUAUUGUUCAUAUAAAUACUAAAAAGCUAACAAAUAUCCCAAACAAUUAAUAAAGUAUCAAACAUGAUAAAAAGUCAAUUAUUAUCAUGAAUGCAAAAAAUCAAUAAUUUUGUUUAUAUGAACCAUCAACAAAGAAAAAAAAAAUCAAUAUCUAAAUAUUAAACAUAAUUUAUAUUUUUAUAAAUAUUAUUGUUGAUAAAUAUCUUAACAAUUAUAAUUUUAGUAAAUAAAAUUAAUUAAUUUUAGUUUAAGAAUUAUUUUUUUAUACUUUCGUAUUCUUAUCAAAAAUCCCCAUUUUGCAUGUCUCCUUUGGCAUGACUUUCUUACCUAAACAAGCAUAUAUAUAUAUAUAUAUAUAUAAAAUAUUUGGUUAAGAAAGAGUACUAAAGUUUAUAUGGCACACAUCAAGAUAGAAACAGAAGUGGAAGAUAAUCCAAAUGUAUGAACAGAUAUAUUAUAUCCAUGUAGUGGUAGUGACUUCAUUAUUUACUUUUAUCUAAUGGAGCAUGACACACUUCUUCUGAAUAUUUUGCACGAUUAUGUUAUGUGUCAGCUUGUUCUAAGUCAAAACUAGUGAUAAAAAUCGGUUUUUUUUGCAUUUCCUUCAUGAAGAUGGCACCUGGAUGGGGCACUACAUGAGUGGCAUAGCACGAAGUGAUUUAUCUGCUCCCUUUACUAUAAAGUGCUUUGUGUAUAAGUUACACCUCCCCUGCACUGCCUCAACAUUUGUUGUUCUGUCUUCCGUCUGUCCAAACGAGGACAAACGUAUGUUGUAGGUUGACAAAACCACAGCUAGCCUAGGAUUUGCAAGGAUCUAGUUUGAUUCGUAUGCAAAAGGAUUGGUGAAAAGAUUCACAAAGAUAAUGCUUUUUGCAAUGCAAUCUUGUUCUAAUUCAACAGUGUGGACCAUUUUCAUGUAAUGCUUCAACUAGAUGUCAGUUUCAUGAAUUUUUGUUCAUCUAAUUGAUCACUGGAUAGGCCAUAACCCGAAGAAAUUCAAAAUUCCCUUCAGUACUGUAGCUAAGGAAAGAUCCCUAUCUACCACUGGGAUUUUAAGAGGGUAAAAAUGUAGGUGGGUGCCUAUAUCAUUUGCACUUCACUAUAGGCCUCUUUGGGAAGAUUUCUUCUGAAGACAUUUCAAAGAAACAUAUUUUUCUCUUCUCUCCGUAAACGGCAGCUGCAAGUCAGUCCAUUCACAGGCCACCGAGUUGAAAAGGCUGGAAAAUUGGCCAAAGCACCCGCCUCCUGGAUUCCAUGGGUAAGGAAAAGGUCACUGGAGGUGUGAUCCCUGUUGGCCUCUUGAUUUCCAUUCCGCCAUCUAUAUGACCUGAUAACCCAAAAACACAGAAGGAAAACGUCACCUGGGUUCAUAGUAAGCAUCAAGUCAUGAUAGAGACCAGACAACAUGACCAACAAAGAGUAGCGAAUGGGGCCAACAUCAAGCCCCAUUACGGUUAGAAGAUGGAAGAAGUAGAAGACAAUCCAAUUCUGAUAGAUUCGGGCAAAUGUAGUGCUGUUCAAACUUAAUCAUUUACUAUUUCUUCAUGAAUCACGGCAUUUUUCUUCUGAAAAUUUUCCAAGAUUAGGCCUCUGAAGAAAAAUUUCAUAUGUAAAUUGGUAUAUUAAGGAAAAGGCGUUACAAAGGUGAAAAAAAACCAAUCAAAUCUUAUAUAUGACAUCUCAAAAAUAUGAACUUGCUAUAAAUAUUUAAAAUCAAAAUCUUGCACAUCACCUCGUAGUACGAACUUGCUAUAAAACUUGAAAAUCAAGAAGAAAGGGGCAGUAUUGGACGAGACUACUUAGCACAUAUUAUUAUGAUGUUUUUUCAUUUUCUUAAUGUUGUUUUUAUGUCUUAAAUUCUAUUAUUCUAUGUUACGGUAAACAUUCAUCUUGUUUGUGUGGAAUAGGAUCACUUUUCUCUGGGUUGAGUCGAUGCCCUUAGUUAAUUUGUUCAUUUGAAUAAACUAAAUUAUUAUAAGUAUUUAGAUAAGAAAAACGUGAUACAUAAAUUACGCCUCUCGGCACAACUUCAACACUGGUUACUCUGUUUCAGUUUCCUCACACAAGAUUAUUGGUUCUAGGGUUUAUUUGGUUUUGGUUUGAUUCUAAUUGCUAAACUUUCUCAAGGAAGAUGUUAUAUAGGGAGUGAGAAACCUUCACUCUUGGCUACCUCCAAGAGAAGAGCAAGUGGUCUGAAUCAAAGAUAUACUGCUCACUUUUUCUUCUUCUAAGGACAGCUAUGACCUUGCUUUAAGGUUCGAAUAGCCUAAUGCAACCUCCCAUUUCUCAAGUCAGCUGAUGAUGUAAGUCACCUUGGCUUUCCACAUUCAUACGGUGAGGACGUUUGUGGGUGUAAUUCUCUUAACAGUUUUCAUUUUAUAUGGAAAAAUUCAUAAUUAAGGGUAAUUACUGAUUCCAUUUGACAGUGACCAAGUUUAAAAUAUUAAUUCAUAUAUUAAAUGCACAUUAAAAAAUCAUGGAAUAAAUAUAUUUACUAAUAUAUAGUUCUUUUGCCAUGUUCUGUCACAGAAGCAUCGAACUUUCCCUAGAAAUUUUUGCAUGGUAUUCUACUUAUGAUUUUGAAAACUCUAGGCACCUGAGGCCACUAAUUGCAUGGUUGGAUGAGGAGCUGCAUGAGAUUAUGUAUCGUGUUGUUCCUUAACUACAAAUAUCAGUUUUAAGUAGCAUCUCCAUGUGACAUUUUCCUGAUGCAAUUUCGCUGUCCACCAACAAAUUUCACCAUGCAGCAAGAUGAAUUGUAAUUUCUUUAUUGUUAUCAACAGCUUUAAUUAAUCUUGAUAUAUAUAUAUAACUUAGUAGAAGUAUAUUAAUCUAGAUUGUAGUUGCACUAAGAUAAUAGGCAAUAUUAUAACAGUGCCACAAUGCUCAUCGCCAAAUAGAAAGGUAGAAAAACUACAAUGAGUAACUCACAACAUUCUCAAACAGGACAUAGCGGCGACUGAUACAUAGAACACUAUUGGCACUCAGGAAAUGAUAAGAUCAGUGCCCAGCAGGCAGCACGUCUUAUUUUACAUACUACUUAAAACUAACCAAAGUCAUUCAGUUGGGAUGGGUGGGAGAUGGUGGUUUGUGCGGUGGCUUUUGGGUAGUUGGUGGCUUCUUUCCUGGAACUGAUGGUUUUUUUGUUGGAGUUGAAGGAGGCUUAAUCGUCUGAGGUGGCUUGUAUGAGUCUUCAGCACUCUCUGCGGGAGGGUGCCCAGGGUUGUGACCAUAAUGGGGUGGCUUCUCUCCCUUAGUUGGUUUGCCAAGUGGGCUGGCUGGCUUGUGCUCCGGGAGCGGCUUCUCUCCCUUAGGUGGUUUGCCAAAUGGGCUUGCUGGCUUGUGCUCUGGGAGCGGCUUCUCUCCCUCAAGAAGUUUACGGGUUUUGUCAGAUGGCUUGUGUUCUGGUGGUGGCUUCUCUCCUUGGGGUGGUUUGCCAAAUGGACUUGGUGGCUUGUGUUCGGGGAGUGGCUCCUCUCCCUUGGGAGGUUUAGUUGGUGGCUGGUGUUCCAUAGGUGGUUUCUCAACCGGGGGCUUGUUCUCCGUUG